This is a long non-coding RNA of Daucus carota subsp. sativus, 675 nucleotides long. RefSeq lists it as uncharacterized. The record is from RefSeq and is a predicted model, not a curated record. The transcript has 2 exons. Lineage: Eukaryota; Viridiplantae; Streptophyta; Magnoliopsida; Apiales; Apiaceae.
GAUGCAACCAAAAUUCCUCGAUCAAUUCUCAGAUGUGCUGGUACAAGCAAAUGUGAUAAAUAGAGAUAAGACCCAUUGGGGGAGGGGGGUUUCAAAAACGAGCUUUCCUUUUCCGUGCAGUGUACUUUGUAUCAGGAGGGAAAAAGUUGGCUACCAAAGGUGAGAGGCUAGUAAUACUGGGUUACAACAGGUUUUUGUUGACUUCCAAAAGAGGGCUCUGGUAUUUAAAAUCUCUCCAGAUUACAGUAUGUGGACUUACAGUUGGAUUUUCUUCAUCUGCACUGCUGUCAUCUUCAGAACAGCUCUCUCCGUCUUCACCUUUUGCUUUUGGUGUAGCACUACUGAGAGAGGGGGGGCCACAAGUGAGCACAAGGUAUUCCUUUCUGCUCUUUGAACUGUUCCAUCAAAAUAAGUAUCAGACCUUUACUAUCAACAAGAAUAAUGCUUCUACCUGUAAUUUCAGGAUAUGGUUACUUGCGUGUCUGCUUUUAUAAGACCAUUUAGCCAAGAGCUUCCUUGUUUCAAUUCAGAUAUAUUGCAAUUUCACUUAUAUUGUAACCUUUUCCAUGUGGUAAGCCACUAUGAUUGUUAACUGAAACAUGAGCGAGCUCCUGAACAGUCAUUCAUUAUUUUCCAUUUUCAAACAAAAUAAAUAAGAUGCUCGUUAAAUUUCAA